GAUGAACGCUGGCGGAGGGACGAAUACAUGCAAGUCGAGCGAACAGACGAGGAGCUUGCUCCUCUGACGUUAGCGGCGGACGGGUGAGUAACACGUGGAUAACCUACCUAUAAGACUGGGAUAACUUCGGGAAACCGGAGCUAAUACCGGAUAAUAUAUUGAACCGCAUGGUUCAAUAGUGAAAGACGGUUUUGCUGUCACUUAUAGAUGGACCCGCGCCGCAUUAGCUAGUUGGUAAGGUAACGGCUUACCAAGGCAACGAUGCGUAGCCGACCUGAGAGGGUGAUCGGCCACACUGGAACUGAGACACGGUCCAGACUCCUACGGGAGGCAGCAGUAGGGAAUCUUCCGCAAUGGGCGAAAGCCUGACGGAGCAACGCCGCGUGAGUGAUGAAGGUCUUCGGAUCGUAAAACUCUGUUAUUAGGGAAGAACAAAUGUGUAAGUAACUAUGCACGUCUUGACGGUACCUAAUCAGAAAGCCACGGCUAACUACGUG
Molecule: ribosomal RNA, 497 nt
Filed under: uncultured bacterium
Lineage: Bacteria
Description: partial 16S ribosomal RNA
Rfam family: Bacterial small subunit ribosomal RNA
Source: RNAcentral